Molecule: transfer RNA, 74 nt
Filed under: Bordetella pertussis
Lineage: Bacteria; Pseudomonadati; Pseudomonadota; Betaproteobacteria; Burkholderiales; Alcaligenaceae
Description: tRNA-Glu
Rfam family: tRNA
About the family: Transfer RNA (tRNA) molecules are approximately 80 nucleotides in length. Their secondary structure includes four short double-helical elements and three loops (D, anti-codon, and T loops). Further hydrogen bonds mediate the characteristic L-shaped molecular structure. tRNAs have two regions of fundamental functional importance: the anti-codon, which is responsible for specific mRNA codon recognition, and the 3' end, to which the tRNAs corresponding amino acid is attached (by aminoacyl-tRNA synthetases). tRNAs cope with the degeneracy of the genetic code in two manners: having more than one tRNA (with a specific anti-codon) for a particular amino acid; and 'wobble' base-pairing, i.e. permitting non-standard base-pairing at the 3rd anti-codon position.
Source: RNAcentral
GUCCCCUUCGUCUAGAGGCCUAGGACAUCACCCUUUCACGGUGAGUACAGGGUUCGAAUCCCUAGGGGACGCCA